GUGGGGAAUAUUGGACAAUGGGCGAAAGCCUGAUCCAGCCAUGCCGCGUGUGUGAAGAAGGUCUUCGGAUUGUAAAGCACUUUAAGUUGGGAGGAAGGGCAGUAAGUUAAUACCUUGCUGUUUUGACGUUACCGACAGAAUAAGCACCGGCUAACUUCGUGCCAGCAGCCGCGGUAAUACGAAGGGUGCAAGCGUUAAUCGGAAUUACUGGGCGUAAAGCGCGCGUAGGUGGUUUUGUAAGUUGGAGGUGAAAUCCCCGGGCUCAACCUGGGAACUGCCUCAAAAACUGCAUGACUAGAGUACGGUAGAUGGUAGUGGAAUUUCCUGUGUAGCGGUGAAAUGCGUAGAUAUAGGAAGGAACACCAGUGGCGAAGGCGACUACCUGGACUGAUACUGACACUGAGGUGCGAAAGCGUGGGGAGCAAACAGGAUUAGAAACCCGUGUAGUCC
Molecule: ribosomal RNA, 450 nt
Filed under: uncultured bacterium
Lineage: Bacteria
Description: partial 16S ribosomal RNA
Rfam family: Bacterial small subunit ribosomal RNA
Source: RNAcentral